CUUCCCCAGGAAGGGGUGUGAUCCUGCCUGCCCCCGCCGAGGCGGUGGGAGGAAGGGUGAUGGGCGGGCUCCGAGUCCGGGUCUACGGGCUUUGGCCGCAGGGCUGGCCUUGCCUGAAUUUACUGGUGCGCCAGUGAGCGACCCUCUCGCUUGUCACUAAGCCACCCCUAGCCUGUGUCCUGAAUGCCACCCCCUCCCGCUCCAUUACGUGCUGGAAUCCAAGUAAAAGCCUGGGCACAGAGGUCCCAGCCCCGGGUCCCGCCACGCGCUUUUAAGAAGAGGGCAGCUAGGGCGGCUGCAGAGAGGGGGAAGGGAGACUAGGGGAAGACAGGUCACAGGGAGAGCGUCUGGUGGAAAGUUAACCCUGGACGAGCACGCCCUACCUGGAGUAACAGGUUUGGAAUGGGUUGUGGCAACCAAGGAGAACGGUGGGCGACCAAGUUGGGGUUGGGAGGGCCCCUACCGGGGUAAAAUUUGAAGUCUUCCCUUUAAAAGGGAGAGACUAAAGGACAACUGGGAGUUGUCACUACAGCGUGCCAGAUAGGGGACCCCACUAGAGAGGAAGCGGCUACAGUAGUUGUUGCUGUAGACGACCCAACCACCGCCUGCAAGAAGAGAAAAACGCCCCCGCUGGAGAAUCGAGGCAUCUGUCGGCUGCUCCAGAGCACAGAAACCGAGGCCUCCCACGGGUGUAACUGGAAGCCGCACGUGGGGGCUCCGCUGACUUUAUUAGGUCGGUGGAGACACACCCGACCACUUGGAGGCGUGCGCCCCGGGGCUGCAGCUCCAGAUCUCGGUGUAGGCACCAGGCGGGUGACCCAGAGGAUGCGACGUGAGACUGAGAAACUCCCCCCGCUGUGGGGAAGGAUUUUUCCAGCAGAUGUUGGAACGAAAGACUCAGACUGUGCACUGCCAGUGGACAAGGAGGCUCAGGUGUGCCUUGUGAAAGAGAACUCCACAUAGAACCAAUGGAUAUAAGGGCAAUUAUAAAGAAAUUCUCCACUUUGUAUUAUACUAACCAGACCAGACUGCAGAUUUUCUUUAUUUUUCAUUUAGUUUGUGAAUACUUACUUGUAAACUGAUUAGAUUAUAAGAACUUGAACUCCCUACCUUGGUGGGUAGCUAAGUUCAUUCUAAUUAAAAAAAACUAAAAGUCA
Ictidomys tridecemlineatus (thirteen-lined ground squirrel) is the source of this 1157-nucleotide long non-coding RNA. RefSeq lists it as uncharacterized. The record is from RefSeq and is a predicted model, not a curated record. NCBI's taxonomy places the organism in Eukaryota, Metazoa, Chordata, Mammalia, Rodentia, Sciuridae.